This 826-nucleotide long non-coding RNA is filed under the name Homo sapiens (human). RNAcentral's name for it is "non-protein coding lnc-HGSNAT-8:1". The record is from RNAcentral. Lineage: Eukaryota; Metazoa; Chordata; Mammalia; Primates; Hominidae.
AAAACCAGCUAAAGGAAAAGAAAUAUUUUGAGAACACUGAAAAUAUGAAAAAAAGAAUGAUAAUCUUCUAAAAGCUAUAAAAUUGAAUGAGGAAACUUUAACAAAAGAGGUAUUUCACUACAAUGAACAGCUUAGCAUUUUGACAACUGAGAAUAAAAUGCUUGGUUUUAAACUGGGGGAUAUAAAGCACCACAAGGAAAGACUGGAAACAGAAAUUCAAUCAUAUAAUUGUAGACUGGCCACUGCUGUAUAUUUUUGUGACCAAAGUGAGAAAGCAAAAAGAGACCUCUUUCCAGAGAAUAAGACACAAAUAGGUUCAUUUACAGGAGAAAAUGAAGUUUGAUAUGCCUACCCUAAAAGGUAACAGUGAGGUUCUUUCUGAACAACUCUCUAAUGCUGACAGUAAAAUUAACAGCCUAAAAAUUAAGCUCCAUCACACAAGAUAAACACUCGGAGAAAAGACUUCAGUUUUAGAACAUUUCCAAAGAGAUCUAUGCCAAACACAGACAGUGUCAAAAGAAAGAAAUUGAACAAAUGUGUCAAAAUGAACAAAGCAGAGUAAAUAAAUAUACUGGAGUGCAGAAACCUAUGAAGACAGAUUUUCUCAACUACAAAGUGAAAAUAAUUUGCUUUGGCAGCAACUGGAUGAUGCUGACAAGAAAGCUGAGAGUCAAGAAAAGACAAUCAGUACUAUCCAAGAGCAAUUCCAUGCUGUUGUCAGAAAUCUUCUAGCUGAGAGUAUAAAGUCUUCUGCUGGAAGAGGAAAACGAGGAGAUAAUCAAUGUACGUAAUCCCUUGAAAGAAAGAAUAUAUCAAUGUGAAAAAG